CUGCCCGGGGUGUCCGGGCCGGAGGACGUCGCCGCGGUCGCGGCCCGGCUGCAGGACGCCCUGCAGACGCCGUUCGAACUGGACGGGCUGA
RNAcentral lists this transfer RNA (91 nucleotides) under Actinoplanes siamensis. RNAcentral describes it as "tRNA-Pro". The record is from RNAcentral. Lineage: Bacteria; Bacillati; Actinomycetota; Actinomycetes; Micromonosporales; Micromonosporaceae.